RNAcentral lists this ribosomal RNA (207 nucleotides) under uncultured bacterium. Its description in RNAcentral is "partial 16S ribosomal RNA". It matches the Rfam family "Bacterial small subunit ribosomal RNA", at positions 568 to 774 of the family's 1533-position model. The record is from RNAcentral.
CGCGUAGGCGGUCGGUCAAGUCGGUUGUGAAAGCCCUCGGCUCAACCGAGGAACUGCAUCCGAUACUGGCUGGCUAGAGUAUGGAAGGGGAGAGUGGAACUCCUGGUGGAGCGGUGAAAUGCGUAGAUAUCAGGAGGAACGCCGGUGGCGAAAGCGACUCUCUGGUCCACAACUGACGCUGAGGCGCGAAAGCCAGGGGAGCAAACG